GGUAAGCCCGUCCCCUUCUUAAUCAAUACGGAGGCUACCCACUCCACAUUACCUUCUUUUCAAGGGCCUGUUUCCCUUGCCUCCAUAACUGUUGUGGGUAUUAACAGCCAGGCUUCUAAACCUCUUAAAACUCCCCAACUCUGGUGCCAACUUAGACAAUACUCUUUUAAGCACUCCUUUUUCGUUAUCCCCACCUGCCCAGUUCCCUUAUUAGGCUGAGACACUUUAACUAAGUUAUCUGCUUCCCUGACUAUUCCUGGACUACAGCCACAUCUCAUUGCCGCCCUUCUCCCCAACCCAAAGCCUCCUUCGCGUCUUCCUCUCAUAUCCCCCCACCUUAACCCGCAAGUAUGGGACAUCUCUACUCCUUCCCUGGCAACCGAUCACAUGCCCCUUACCAUCCCAUUAAAACCUAAUCACCCUUACCCCGCUCAACGCCAAUAUCCCAUCCCACAGCACGCUUUAAAAAGAUUAAAACCUGUUAUCACUCGCCUGCUACAGCGUGGCCUUUUAAAGCUUAUAAACUCUCCUUACCAUUCCCCCAUUUUACCUGUCCUAAAACCAGACAAGCCUUACAAGUUAGUUCAGAAUCUGCGCCUUAUCAACCAAAUUGUUUUGCCUAUCCACCCCGUGGUGCCAAACCCAUAGACUCUCCUAUCCUCAAUACCUCCCUCUACUACCCAUUAUUCUGUUCUGGAUCUCAAACAUGCUUUCUUUACUAUUCCUUGCACCCUUCAUCCCAGCCUCUCUUUGCCUUCACUUAGACUGACCCUGACACCCAUUAGGCUCAGCAAAUUACCUGGGCUGUACUGCUGCAAGGCUUCACAGACAGCCCCCAUUACUUCAGUCAAGCCCAAAUUUCAUCCUCAUCUGUUAGUCAUACUCCUAUUCACUGUUCUCAACUACUCACACAUGCCCUGCUCUUGUUUACACUGCCGGUUUACACUCUUUCUCCAAGACAUCACAGGUGAUAUCUCCUAGUGCUAUCCCCAAACUGCCACUCUAAACUCUUGAAGUAAAUAAAUAAUCUUUGCCGGCAGGACUAUGCUGAAUCUCCUUAGGCACUCUCUAAUUAGAUGGCCUAGGUCCUCCCAAUUCUUAGUCCUUUUAUACCUGUUUUUCGCCUUCUCAUAUUCCAUUUAGUUUUUCAAUUCAUACAAAACCGUAUCCAGGCCAUCACCAAUCAUUCUAUAUGACAAAUGUUUCUUCUUACAUCCCCACAAUAUCACCCCUUACCACAAGACCUCCCUUCAGCUUAAUCUCUCCCACUCUAGGUUCCCACGCCGCCCCUAAUCCCACUUGAAGCAGCUCUGAGAAACAUCACCCAUUCUCUCUCCAUAACACCCCCAAAAAUUUUUGCCGCCUCAACACUUCAACACUAUUUUGUUUUAUUUUUCUUAUUAAUAUAAGAAGGCAGGAAUGUCAGGCCUCUGAGCCCAAGCCAAGCCAUCGCAUCCCCUGUGACUUGCACGUAUACGCCCAGAUGGCCUGAAGUAACUGAAGAAUCACAAAAGAAGUGAAAAGGCCCUGCCCCGCCUUAACUGAUGACAUUCCACUAUUGUGAUUUGUUCCUGCCCCACCUUAACUGAGUGAUUAACCCUGCGAAUUUCCUUCUCCUGGCUCAGAAGCUCCCCCACUGAGCACCUUGUGACCCCCCACCCCUGCCCACCAGAGAACAACCCCCUUUGACUAAUUUUCCAUUACCUUCCCAAAUCCUAUAAAACGGCCCCACCCCUAUCUCCCUUCGCUGACUCUCUUUUCGGACUCAGCCCACCUGCACCCAGGUGAAAUAAACAGCCAUGUUGCUCACACGGAGCCUGUUUGGUGGUCUCUUCACACAGACGCGCAUGAAACUGUCCUCCGGGGUCCUUGGUCCAACUAAUAGGUGGACACAGAUCCUUUGUCAACAGAGCAGGGCUGGCUGUGAGCACAGAGUAGGAACCUCAGCGCUACCUGGGGGGUCAGGCAGGCUUCCUGGAAGACGUGAGGCUGUGCUGGGCUCGAAGGGUCAGACCCAAGACCAUAUGCAGCGGGCACACCUGUGCAGGGCACCAGCAAUGGUGCAGGGCCGCUGAUGCG
RNAcentral lists this long non-coding RNA (2079 nucleotides) under Homo sapiens (human). Its description in RNAcentral is "HSALNT0323939". Lineage: Eukaryota; Metazoa; Chordata; Mammalia; Primates; Hominidae. The record is from RNAcentral.